AAUUUAUUAUAAAUAUAUUUUAUACACCUUCUGCCUUAAAAGUGAAUAAAUACAUAUGCACUGAUAUUUUUUCCUUGUUAUACAUACGUUAUACAUCUCGUAUAAUUUAAUUUACACAUUUCAUUCAUGUUUUUUUGUCCUUUUUCCUUUUUCCGCUAUUCUCAUUUCGCUGUUUUCUCCCUCUCUUAGUAUUCAUCACACUGUUUGCAUCCUUCUUUGAAAUGUUCUAACAUUCCUUUUCUUCCUUCAUAUAUUAUCAUCACUGUUAUUAAAAUUUGUUCCUCUUUCUUCGUUACUACGUAUAAACCUUGCUAUUAUCUUUUGAUUUUGUCCAUUACACUCAUUAAUCAUAUAUUUUAAACUUUAAACUUUAAACUAUUGGCAGUGCGUGGUUCCCUCCGAACUUUACGCGCGUGGUUUUCAAUAUACUAAGUUCUCAUUUGAGGCGACGUAAAGUUUAGUUGUGCUCCCUAUAUCAUCGAACAUAUUAUUAUUUAACAAUAACUUCCACUGAAAUAGAUAGUAACGUGACGCCUUCACAGUUCGUAUAAGUUUUGUAUUACUUUGAUACCAUAUGAUAUGUAAGAAUCAACAAAAUUAGCAAAAUUAAGAUAAUUGUGUGAAAGUAAUUUUAUGAAAGUUUGAACAAGAUAAUUUAAUGUCUGCCAUUACACGAGGAAUCAAUGCAAACGCAAACAAGUGACUUCAUCAAAUACAGGGUGCCUGGAGCGAUAUUGAAAAAACUUUUUCUUCAUCAAGAUGUUCGUUAAGGCUUAGUUUUUGAAUUAUUAAUAAAAAACACCGAUAAGUAAAAGCGCACAAGCUCAGCCACUGGAGUGUUAGUUAUACGCCGAUAUUGGUUGUCGUAGAACAAAUAAAAUAUAAAACUAUUGACUUUUAUUUUACGUUGACUUAAAAAAUUUGUAUCAUCGGUAGAUUUAUGCUUAUUAAUAGUGCCGAAUUUUGUAACUAUACAUACUAGCUGAUGUGUACUAUAUUACCGAUGUGGCACUAAUUUGUUUAAUCAUGACUACGGUUAACAUCGACGUAUAGCCAACACUCUCGUGAUUGAACCCGCACACUGUGUGCUUUUAUUGGUCAGUGUUUUUCAUUAAUAAUUCGAAAAUUGGUACAGGAAAAACUUGUUCAGUAUUGUUGAACAACCAACCAACAACUGAAUUUUAUAUUGAUGUUUAUAAUUAUAACGAAAAAGCAGCGACAAUUCAAGAUGCAAAAGACAUAUAAAAGACAAUAGCUUAUUCUAAACUAAGUAAUUUGAAAAGUUGAAAGCAUUUUAGUCUUACAUGUAUUUUAAAUUUUAUACUUUUGCGUGUGCUAUCUGGAAACUGCACCACUAGCGUCAUCUAUCGGCUAAACGUGGAUUUUAACUAAAAAUCCAUUCUUUUUUGUAAAAUAAAACGUUUUGUUAAAUUGCA
Long non-coding RNA from Megachile rotundata (alfalfa leafcutting bee), 1436 nucleotides. RefSeq lists it as uncharacterized. NCBI's taxonomy places the organism in Eukaryota, Metazoa, Arthropoda, Insecta, Hymenoptera, Megachilidae. The record is from RefSeq and is a predicted model, not a curated record.